UGAGUGGGUCGGGUGGCGGCCUUUGACCUAGUCAAGGGAGGAAAGUCCGGACUUCAUCGAGCGCGGCGCCCGGCGCAAGCUGGGAGGGGGCGACCCCAUGGAAAGUGCCACAGAGAACAGACCGCCUCGGUUCGCCGAGGUAAGGGUGAAACGGUGAGGUAAGAGCUCACCAGCGGUUCGGGUAACCGGAUCGGCUUGGUAAACCCCGCUGGAAGCAAGACCAAAUAGGGAGGGGAUGACGUGGCUCACCGACCCUCCGGGUUGGUCGCGUAGAUAAAUCGUCACACAAAUACAGAAUCCGGCUUACAGACCCACUCACUUU
Molecule: RNase P RNA, 322 nt
Filed under: Chthonomonas sp.
Lineage: Bacteria; Bacillati; Armatimonadota; Chthonomonadia; Chthonomonadales; Chthonomonadaceae
Description: RNase P RNA component class A
Rfam family: Bacterial RNase P class A
About the family: Ribonuclease P (RNase P) is a ubiquitous endoribonuclease, found in archaea, bacteria and eukarya as well as chloroplasts and mitochondria. Its best characterised activity is the generation of mature 5'-ends of tRNAs by cleaving the 5'-leader elements of precursor-tRNAs. Cellular RNase Ps are ribonucleoproteins.
Source: RNAcentral